RNAcentral lists this ribosomal RNA (484 nucleotides) under uncultured bacterium. RNAcentral's name for it is "partial 16S ribosomal RNA". It matches the Rfam family "Bacterial small subunit ribosomal RNA", at positions 30 to 507 of the family's 1533-position model. The record is from RNAcentral.
AUUGAACGCUGGCGGCAGGCCUAACACAUGCAAGUCGAGCGGAUGAAGGGAGCUUGCUCCUGGAUUCAGCGGCGGACGGGUGAGUAAUGCCUAGGAAUCUUCCUGGUAGUGGGGGAUAACGUCCGGAAACGGGCGCUAAUACCGCAUACGUCCUGAGGGAGAAAGUGGGGGAUCUUCGGACCUCACGCUAUCAUAUGAGCCUAGGUCGGAUUAGCUAGUUGGUGGGGUAAAGGCCUACCAAGGCGACGAUCCGUAACUGGUCUGAGAGGCUGAUCAGUCACACUGGAACGGAGACACGGUCCAGACUACUACGGGAGGCAGCAGUGGGGAAUAUUGGACAAUGGGCGAAAGCAUGAUCCAGUCAUGCCGAGUGUGUGAAGAAGGUCUUCGGAUUGUAAAGCACUUUAAGUUGGGAGGAAGCGCAGUAAGUUAAGACCUUGCUGUUUUGACGUUACCAACAGAAUAAGCACCGGCUAACUUCGUG